CCCCUAUUCUUCGCCACUUGGCAGCUCCGUUUCAGCUCUGCCGGAAGUUUCCGGAAACGAGAUAACGUAUCGAUUGUGUCUGGCGGAGGGAGGAAAUCACCUCAAUCCAAACAAGAGGAUUCGUGCCACUUUCAGCCAAUCGGGAUCCAGUUUUAAAAAUAUUUACGCGGACAUGUCAACAGCGGUGUGUCAGCAAAGCAUUUCGCAAAGACAAACACGCACCUCAGCCCCCCCCCUCCUGGGGUCACCCAUCGCAUGUCACGCUAGAAGCAGUGAGCCGACGGAGACAUAACAGCAAAUAUUUAUUUAAUCUCGUUCCGUCGCGCUGUUUCUUCGUUCUCGGUGUUGGGGCGAAAGGCCUCACAGAAGCAAACGUUGAUAAAAGACAAGUUCAAACAGUUUAACCCCUAUCGCUCCAUGCUCGGAGGAGCUGUGAUUAAAUGCUUCCCCUGGGUGGCUGGAGUGCAGGUAGGCCGGCUCAGCCAAGCGUACAGAACACAAGCCUCUUUGUGGAAAGUGUGAACCAGGGAUGAUGGGGGCUGGGGCUAGUUUUUUUUAAAUCACUCCAGCCCUCCCACAAAACAGUAAUGCCCAUUUGGGCGACUUUGGAUGGCACUGAACUGGCCCACAGAAAUUUCAACUUGGGCAAUCGUGGAAACGACGAUCUUUGCUUCUAAAAAUAAUCCGAGGCGGUAUCGGUGCGUUUCACGGGACCCUCGCUCGAGCUGCAGGUCGGCCCGCUCGUGUGAUUCUCCGCGGCUCCGUCUCGCAGCCUCGGCGCCGGUGGACGCCCUCCCAGCUGGGCGGGGGACAGCUGCAGAGCUUGGCGGGGGCUGCUCCGUGUGGACCGCCGGCACGCUCGCUGAGAAAUCACCACGACUACAGGGCACCGCCGUGCUUUUCCCCGCCUGACAUUCAGCCUGGAUUUGCUCAGGCGGUUCCGGCCCGCUUUCCGCACCACUCCUCUCCCUUUUAGGACGACAUCCUCCUCCCAUCUUCUCAGCAGCUGAGCGCUGAGUAGGUGCCGCUCUCCCGGGCCUGAGUGCGUCUCUCUGAUCUGCGGACCCCUCGACGCGUCCCGCUAAUGGAAGGCAGACAAAAACACUCGCUCCGCACGAUUGCGUCUGUUUGCUGAGCUAAGUGGCUGGGAGCGCAGGGAGGACGGGACACGUUUCAGGGCUCGGCCGAUGAAGGAGGACACAGGCGGUCCUACAGCAGCGCUGCAAUUCGGCCGUAAAAGCUGGUGGAUAGCCCUAAAAACAUGGAUGGGCCAAAAUUCCUAACAAAUUAAGGAAUGAUUCAUAUACCUUUCAUCCAUAUUUUAUACACCUGUAAAUGCAAUGAAUUUCAUAUUAAUGUAUGUAAGUUACAUAACGGUUUCUAGGCAAUAUAAAGACACCAACCCCUCUAACUGCAUUGUUAUUAGAAGGUAUGAGAUGUUUUUGAGAGAUGUGCCACAUCGUUCCUGGGAUUCAGAAGACAGCAUUUGACAUCAUAACGUGACUGAGAUCAAUAUUGCGUUAGCAGCCUGAAGACCACUGAUUGGUGAACAUGCAGACAGCUCAUACAGGUCACCCCAUUGGACACUGGAAAAGACUGCCGACCAAUGGAAGUCAAAGAUGCAGUACAUCGACAAUGCUGCCACUGUGAGUAACGUGAACAAAAUUCUAAGCUUCUGGAGAAAGACUAAUAAGACCUUGGAAAUUAAGUCGGUAAAGAUGUUCAAGAAAUCCAAACCAUAUCCACAGCACCUGGCGUGAGUAGCUUAGACUGAUAUUAAAGUAAUCUGCUUGUAGAGCUGGA
This is a long non-coding RNA of Brienomyrus brachyistius, 1803 nucleotides long. RefSeq lists it as uncharacterized. The record is from RefSeq and is a predicted model, not a curated record. The transcript has 3 exons. NCBI's taxonomy places the organism in Eukaryota, Metazoa, Chordata, Actinopteri, Osteoglossiformes, Mormyridae.